Molecule: ribosomal RNA, 468 nt
Filed under: uncultured bacterium
Lineage: Bacteria
Description: partial 16S ribosomal RNA
Rfam family: Bacterial small subunit ribosomal RNA
Source: RNAcentral
GACGAACGCUGGCGGCGUGCUUAACACAUGCAAGUCGAACGGAAAGGCCCUGCUUUUGUGGGGUGCUCGAGUGGCGAACGGGUGAGUAACACGUGAGUAACCUGCCCCUGACUUUGGGAUAACUUCAGGAAACUGGGGCUAAUACCGGAUAGGAGCUCCUGCUGCAUGGUGGGGGUUGGAAAGUUUCGGCGGUUGGGGAUGGACUCGCGGCCUAUCAGCUUGUUGGUGGGGUAGUGGCUUACCAAGGCCUUGACGGGUAGCCGGCCUGAGAGGGUGACCGGCCACAUUGGGACUGAGAUACGGCCCAGACUCCUACGGGAGGCAGCAGUGGGGAAUAUUGCACAAUGGGCGGAAGCCUGAUGCAGCAACGCCGCGUGCGGGAUGACGGCCUUCGGGUUGUAAACCGCUUUCGCCUGUGACGAAGCGUGAGUGACGGUAAUGGGUAAAGAAGCACCGGCUAACUACGUG